CAUGCUGCACAGCAUCCUUCGUGCUCCUAUGUCCUUCUUCGACUCUACUCCUGCUGGAAGAAUCUUAAACCGCGUAAGUAACUCAAUUUAGCUGAUUGGGAUUGGACAAGGGGACAGCAGAUCAGCUGUAGUAUAUUUCCCUUGAUCUGAAGAUGUGUGGAUUAAGCUAAGUACUUCACCAUUAGAUCCCUGAAACAUGUUAAAAAAGAAGUAACUAGUAAGAAACCAGACAUGAUAACAACUCUUCUUUUGUUUUUCCACAACUGCAAUUUGCCUCUGAGAAGGAGAAACUGAUCAAAGACAGAUAUUAAAUGAUAAGUCAGGGGAUAAAUAGCAGUUAUAUCUCAUAACUGCAUAAAGCAAGUAGGCUCUUUCACUGUACAGUCAUAUGUGUCUGAAUGUGUAACUCACAAGUUAAUCUACAGAAAAGUACCAGAAUAAGACAAUCAAGAUAAUACCAUGACAAAAACAGUGACUGAAAUCUAGCCAUAACCUAAAGAACUUAAGGCUGAAAGUCAGUUUCUUCAUUGAUGCAAUUCCAUUGGAUCAAUCACUCAAGAACAUAUUAUUACAUGAACAGGUAUCCACAGACCAAAGUGUUCUAGACUUGGAAAUGGCAACCAAGUUGGGUUGGUGCGCCUUCUCCAUAAUUCAGCUUCUUGGGACAAUUGCAGUCAUGUCACAGGUCGCAUGGGAAGUAUUUGUCAUCUUUAUUCCAGUAACAGCAGUCUGUGUUUGGUACCAGGUAAGUAAGAUGUACAUGUUUUAGAUUUCUAAAUGCUAAAUAUAUUAAAACAAGAAGUUGCUAGUUUGUUUUGGGCAAAGAACUCUAGCAGUCAAGUAAGGGGAGGCCAACACGCUGAUAUAACCACGUUUGCUGCUAAAAUAAGAAGUUCUCAUCUAGCCACCUAGUAGAAGAGUUCUUGUAUACAUGAUCAAGUGAUGUUUGGGAAAAUAUUAGUAAAAUUAUAUUUAAAGAUCAAAGGAUGAACAAACCUUAUGUUUGUUGAAGAUUUCAAAGAUUUUCUUUCUAGUUUUUGUAAAAUGUUAUUUUAAGAUAUUAUUGUUAAAAAUGCCAGCAAUACUACAUACCAACUGCAAGAGAGCUUGCUCGUUUAUCUGGAGUUCAAAGAGCUCCGAUCCUCCAUCACUUUGCAGAAUCACUCGCAGGAGCAGCAACCAUUCGUGCUUUCAACCAAAAAGAUCGCUUUGCUCUUGCAAACCUUUGUCUCAUAGAUGGUCAUUCAAGGCCAUGGUUCCACAAUGUAUCAGCAAUGGAAUGGCUUUCUUUUAGACUGAACCAGCUAUCUAAUUUUGUUUUUGCCUUCUCCCUUGUUCUGCUAGUCACACUCCCUGAAGGAAUCAUAAAUCCAAGUAAGUAUCAGAAAUUGUUUUUCCUUAAUGUUGUUAUGUAGAGCACAAGUAGGAAACCAAGACAUCAAAAGCACAAAACUGAUGUCGCUUUAUAUUCUACAGGCAUUGCAGGAUUGGCAGUAACAUAUGGAAUCAAUCUGAAUGUUUUACAAGCUUCAGUAAUAUGGAAUAUUUGUAAUGCUGAAAACAAAAUGAUAUCAGUUGAAAGGAUUCUCCAGUAUUCAAACAUUGCCAGUGAAGCACCUCUUGUGAUUGAAAAUAGCAGACCAUCAAGCACUUGGCCAGAAACUGGAACAAUUUCCUUCGAGAAUUUGCAGGUAAUGACAGUCUCACAUAGCUUAGAUCGAACUAGACUCAGUUAUGAGGUUUGAAUACCAGAAAACCUUUAGUGAUCAGGAUGAAAUGAAUGAAGCUAUAUUUGCCACAAAAACUGGCAGCAAUAUUAUGUACUUGUUUAUAAUAAAACUUUUUAGCUGCCUGGCUUAAGAUUUACACCCUCUGAUAUCAUCACCAUACCUCUAUCUGCAGAUACGUUACGCUGAACACCUCCCGUCUGUUCUGAAAAACAUCACAUGCACAUUGCCAGGAAGUAAGAAAGUCGGUGUUGUGGGCAGAACAGGAAGUGGUAAAUCAACUCUCAUUCAGGCCCUUUUCCGGAUCAUAGAACCAAGAGAAGGAAGCAUCAUCAUCGAUGAUAUAGAUAUUUGCAAGAUAGGCCUUUACGAUUUGAGGUCAAGGCUUAGUAUUAUUCCUCAGGAUCCAACAAUGUUCGAGGGAACAGUUAGAGGAAACCUAGACCCGCUAGCAGAGCACUCUGAUACUGAAAUCUGGGAGGUACUUAUUGCACUGAGUAUUGCACAAAUAAUUAUGCAAAACUGACCACUUAAAUUGACAGAUUGUCUUAUAAGUCAUCAUUGCAUGGUAACAAGCUAAAAGCAAAAAACUUGUUAACCCUGUGGUAGGUCUUGUACUUGUUUUGCAAAGUCUAAAUGACUGGAGUAUAAACUUUAACCAACUUCUAUAUGUAGUCAAAAAAAAGUUGAAAUUAACUUAAAUAAUAAUGAUUCGAUUGUGAAUAAUGUGCAGUAAUCUUCUUUUGUCAGGCUCUGGACAAAUGCCAACUUGGUGAUAUAAUACGUGCAAAGCCAGAAAAGCUGGAAACUACAGGUGAGACUAGAAAUUUCUUGAUUAAAUAUAGUAAUUUAAGACACGGCCUUUUUUCAUGAAAGCAAUCACGUAUUACUUCUUGAAAGCUACUAAUGCGGUCAGUUUAACAGUGGUUGAAAAUGGAGAGAACUGGAGUGUCGGUCAAAGGCAGCUUUUCUGUCUUGGAAGAGCCUUGCUAAAGAAAAGCAGCAUUCUCGUUCUAGACGAAGCAACAGCAUCAGUUGAUGCUGCAACUGAUUCAGUGUUACAAAAGAUUAUCAGUCAAGAAUUCAUAAAUCGAACAGUUGUCACAAUAGCUCACAGAAUCCAUACAGUCAUUGAUAGCGAUCUUGUCUUAGUCUUGAAUGAAGGUAAAUAUUAGGAUACAUCUAAUAUCUCUCUAUCCUCUUGAUUUGAAUAAGCUGCUAACUUCUUGAUUCUAACUAUAUGAAUUCCUUCACUUGUUAACAGGAAGAAUAGCCGAAUAUGACACACCAGCAAAGCUAUUGGAAAGAGAGGAUUCUUUCUUCUCAAAAUUGAUAAAGGAGUAUUCAAUGAGAUCCAAAAGUUUUAACAGCUUAGCUAAAUUACAGACCUGACCUUGCUUCCUACGUUCUGGAAAAGAACUUGUAGAGGCACCAGUAGAAGCAAGAAAUCAUAUUGGUAAGCUAAAGCUUUUACUAAAGCUGAAAAGGGUCUAUAUCAGCCUCAGCUACUAGCCUACUGUAGAGGUCAACUAAGCACCCUGACAGUGCUUUUGGCGCAUUUAUAUCACCAUUCACAGGGAGUUGAAGUUUUGUAAGCUUAGUUCAGUAUGGUAAAGAACCUUCUCUAUUCGAAAGAACACUGCACGCUAUAUGAAGAAUACACACCCCUAGCAUUAAAAUUCUGUAACAUGUGUAAACCAUGAAUUACUUUUGUUCUUUAAGUUACCAAAAAAUUCUGUGUAAUCUAAGUUGCACUUUGAGCUUGAUGUCGCAAAUAAAGAACCUUCCAAAAUUCUGACGUGUUACUAUCAGAGGGUAGCAACAAACAAAAAAUAUAAGUUCAAUAAGCAGGAAAUUUUUGAUAUUUGCAUACUACUCAACUCCGAAUAAACAGUUAACAAACCAUCACACCAGAUUAUUGAGCUUAAUUUUCAGGAGAGGAUAGGUGAGUGAUAGAGGCAUAGACAACAUGGAGAUUCCAUACUCAAAUCCCAAUUAAAACACUCAGUGUGAAUCCAUCUACUCUAGCCUUGAGAGGUUUACCCCAGAGGCGGAGCCACAGUGUGGGCUUCGGGUUCGGCUGAACCCAGUAGCUUUGAUUCAAAUCAUGUAUUUUUCUUAAAUUUCACUAAAUAUGUAUAGAUUAUUAAUUUAGAACCCAGUAACUUAAAAGGAUUAGGAUCCCAAACCAUAAGCUUGAAAUCCUGGCUCCGACUCUGGACUUUGCCCCUCAACUUUGAUUUUCCAUAGAGAGUUAAAAAAGCAUUGUGCUUCAGCAACAAAAACUUAACAGUUUCCAGCAUUGAACGUCCACAGCAGACCAAAAGAUCUUCCUACUUCAUGCAUGGGCGCCGGAAAAUUACCUAUAUAUAUAUUAGAAGUUGAAUCUCUUUGACUUCUUCGUGUGUUUGCUUCUUUAUAUUUUGAAUUAAUAUUGACUUCAUGCCUCCCACAUGUAGAGUUCAAGUUAUGGGUUCAUCCGAAACCCAGUAGCUUGACUCGGACUAUUCGGUAAUUCUAAAAGUGCAAUGAAUUGAAGAAAUUCGUCAAAGAUCAAUUCAUCUGUGUCUAAAUUGUUACAAGGAAUCUGAGGGAUAAUCGAGUUUUACCUGAAUGAAUCAAAACUAUAUACGCACUUGCUCCAUCAGGCUUUGACUUGAAAAUGCAAAUGUGUUGACGAUUUCCAUCGGCAGUAAAGCCUAUUGCAAUUCCAAUAGUAUGUAUUUUCUGUGGGAACGUAGAAUGAGAUUUGAGAAUAGAUGAUAACCAUAACAAGUCGCCGCUGUGUGAAAAUUGCACUUAGU
Molecule: long non-coding RNA, 4531 nt
Filed under: Nicotiana tabacum (common tobacco)
Lineage: Eukaryota; Viridiplantae; Streptophyta; Magnoliopsida; Solanales; Solanaceae
Description: long non-coding RNA (NTAB_LNC004225)
Source: RNAcentral